GGGCUCACACAAGCGGUGGAGCAUGUGGCUCAAUUCGAAGCAACGCGAAGAACCUUAUCCUAGGUUUGACAUGUAUGGAUUAGUCCCGAGAAACCGGGAUGACACUCUUGUAGUGGAACAUACACAGGUGCUGCAUGGCUGUCGUCAGCUCGUGCUGUGAAGUGUCGGGUUAAGUCCCUUAACGAGCGAAACCCCUAUCACUAGUUGCGAACAGGUCAAGCUGCGGACUCUAGUGAGACUGCCGGUGUUAAACCGGACGAAGGUGGGGAUGACGUCAAGUCCUCAUGGCCUUUAUGCCUAGGGCUGCACACGUGCUACAAUGGCGCGCACAGAACGAUGCAAGACCGCAAGGUGGAGCAAAUCGCUUCAAAACGCGCCCCAGUUCGGAUAGAGGGCUGCAACCCGCCCUCUUGAAGUCGGAAUCGCUAGUAAUCGCGGAUCAGCUACGCCGCGGUGAAUAUGUUCCUGAGCCUU
Molecule: ribosomal RNA, 474 nt
Filed under: uncultured bacterium
Lineage: Bacteria
Description: bacterial SSU rRNA
Rfam family: Bacterial small subunit ribosomal RNA
Source: RNAcentral